ACUCCUGCACGCGCACGAGUUCUUCACUGUCCCGAUCUAAAUCCUCAUCCAAUCGACUCAUCUGUUGCCCCUAGUACAUGCAUGACCCCAUAUAAAUACUCCCUGUGUCCUACUCGUUCGAGUUUUGCCAAAAUCACCAUCGCCCGUGCCCGAGGUCGAUUUCGCGAUCUCGCCGGAGUUCCGCCGUCGCAGAAGCUUUUCCUCGGUCGAUUUCGCCGCCAUCAGCAGGGGAGCACCAGGACGACGCCCGCAACCCCGACCCGAAGAUCACCGCCGCCACCAACAACGGACGCCCCGCUUCGACCUGCUUCAACCCAACGUCCCCGACGAUCACCAGGACCACCUCGACCCCCUCGUCGAUCGGUACCUCUCCGCCCCCUUCACUGACUCCCAGGGCCACGGGAACGGCCGCCGGCAACAACCUCGAGCCGCUCGCGCCGUCAUCUUCCUCAAGUCCGGUGACCACCUCGAUCUGUUCUCCGGUGAGUCAACACGCAUCGUCCGAUCUCUCUCCGAGGGCCAAGAUUAGAUCUAUUUUUUUCUUAAAGCCGAACCGUUUUCCUCUAAAUAGCGACCGUUCUUUGCUUAAGGCUAGCAGCAAACACCCUACGGCCACUCACAGAUUGCCACGUGGCACAUCCACAGCAGCCGCAGCAGUUCUUCCAGGAAAGCUGUUUUGGCACAAUUUUUGUUUUUAGAUUUCAUAUCAAAUGUUCAUUUAGGUAUAUCUUGAGAUCCGUAUAUCCAAAUUCACCGAUUCUUUUUCCUGUGUACUCCUAGAGUCCAGAGAAUACUAUAGAACCAAAAUUUCACAUUUUUGAACUAUUCAAAUUUGAAUUUGUUUAAAUUUGAAUUCGAACUUCUGGAGGCCAUAUCUUUUAAACCACUGAUCCAAAUUAGUUGAUUCUUUUUGCAUUGUGAUCCUACUGGCAUGUACAUAAUAUAUACCUACGGAUAUGUUCUAUUAAUUAAGUUUUUAUUUGAAUUAUUUCUUGUUGGCUUUAUUGUGAUUUAUGUGACUAUGGUUUAUUUAUCGGUGCCUUCGUUAAUCGUAUAAAUUAUUCGGAGUGUGAAGCAGAUUGGAAUUAAGCGUUAGAGUACAUCAACACCGUUCAAGGCAAGUUGCACUUUUGAUUAUGCUCAUCCUAUAUGUCUGUUGUGCACUGUUAUGAUAUGUUAUAUGCUUGGUAUGCCUCUUAUAUUGCGUGUCGCCAUGUGCGUGUCCUGUUUGCAUUGUUUAAUUGUAUGCUUGGAUUUGCUAUGGUAGACGUGGGUAUGUGUCGAGUGGUGCAUGGAAGUGGUGAGUCUUUAUAGCUGUAGGCUCGGGACUUUUUCUCAGGUGAAUGCGUCAAUGGCUAAGCGCUCUAUUGUCCCUAGAGAAUGCGCCAUGACUGAGCGCACUUGGGUUGUCGGAGCUUUUUCUCACGUGAAUGCGUCACUGGCUGAGCGCUCUAUUGUCCCUAGAGAAUGCGCCAGGACUGAGCGCACUUGAGACAUCUUGAAGAUCUUUAUCAUCUGUGUUGUUUGCACCUUGCCUAUGUCGUGGAGGUAGGUGAAGGUAGUUCUUGAGUGUUUUGUUUGUCAUGCUUUGCUUUGUAGAUGUAGGUUUGCUUUAUCAUUACGUGUAAUUUGCCAAUACAUUCAAUGUAUUGACCCUAUGUGGCUGCAACUUAUCAUGUUGCAGGAUAUUCAGGUGAUCAGUGAGAUACAGUAGGGUCGCGAGUCUUCACUCAGCAUUUUCGCCAGUGGGCAUUGAUGGGAUUCAUCGUUUAUUAUGCUAGCUUUCCGCUGUUAUUAUUGAAUAAAGCUAGCUAUGUGCUACUCAGUUUGUAAUACCUUAUGAAUUCUGGAUCAUACGUUAUAGUAAACGAUGCACUUGUUAUUUGAUAUUCA
Long non-coding RNA from Triticum aestivum (bread wheat), 1893 nucleotides. RefSeq lists it as uncharacterized. The transcript has 2 exons. NCBI's taxonomy places the organism in Eukaryota, Viridiplantae, Streptophyta, Magnoliopsida, Poales, Poaceae. The record is from RefSeq and is a predicted model, not a curated record.